RNAcentral lists this unclassified non-coding RNA (312 nucleotides) under Hevea brasiliensis (rubber tree). The record is from RNAcentral. Lineage: Eukaryota; Viridiplantae; Streptophyta; Magnoliopsida; Malpighiales; Euphorbiaceae.
GAUUGGUAGAUCUACAUGAACAAUGUGAGUAUUUGCAGGGGAUUAUCGAAAUAGUCUCCAAAUUUUUAGGAGAAGAUGAAAAUUGUUGCUAUUAAUUGUCCUGUAUCAAUUGUAUUCAAUUUUAUUCCUUGUCAAUGGAGAUGAUUAUUGUCUUCAUUAAUGGAUACAAUAGUCAUCCAUUAAUUAUAUUAUUCAAUAGAUCGGAAGAUUAUAGCCCCUUUGUCUGUGGCUUCUUUAUUUUGUUGUUGUUGGUCCACUUUUUUAUUAGUCUGCAGGCUUUUUUGCUGGUACCCUUUUUUCUUGUUUAUUUUG